GAUGAACGCUGGCGGCGUGCCUAAUACAUGCAAGUCGAGCGAACGGACGAGAAGCUUGCUUCUCUGAUGUUAGCGGCGGACGGGUGAGUAACACGUGGAUAACCUACCUAUAAGACUGGGAUAACUUCGGGAAACCGGAGCUAAUACCGGAUAAUAUUUUGAACCGCAUGGUUCAAAAGUGAAAGACGGUCUUGCUGUCACUUAUAGAUGGAUCCGCGCUGCAUUAGCUAGUUGGUACGGUAACGGCUUACCAAGGCAACGAUGCGUAGCCGACCUGAGAGGGGGAUCGGCCACACUGGAACGGAGACACGGUCCAGACUCCUACGGGAGGCAGCAGUAGGGAAUCUUCCGCAAUGGGCGAAAGCCUGACGGAGCAACGCCGCGUGAGUGAUGAAGGUCUUCGGAUCGUAAAACUCUGUUAUUAGGGAAGAACAUAUGUGUAAGUAACUGUGCACAUCUUGACGGUACCUAAUCAGAAAGCCACGGCUAACUACGUG
RNAcentral lists this ribosomal RNA (497 nucleotides) under uncultured bacterium. Its description in RNAcentral is "partial 16S ribosomal RNA". It matches the Rfam family "Bacterial small subunit ribosomal RNA", at positions 28 to 507 of the family's 1533-position model. The record is from RNAcentral.